Apodemus sylvaticus (European woodmouse) is the source of this 128-nucleotide small nucleolar RNA. RefSeq annotates it as small nucleolar RNA SNORA17. Lineage: Eukaryota; Metazoa; Chordata; Mammalia; Rodentia; Muridae. The transcript has a single exon. The record is from RefSeq and is a predicted model, not a curated record.
CAUGCCCCAGGGGGGGCAGGUGUGGCUGCUGUGUCACAUGAGUAUCAGUAGGUGGCAGAAAACAGAGAGGCUACAUCUAACUCAGUGUUCUGACCUGUGAACAUCUGAAUGAUUAGUAGUGUAACAUU